This 249-nucleotide long non-coding RNA is filed under the name Oryza brachyantha (malo sina). RNAcentral describes it as "long non-coding RNA (OBRA_LNC001055)". Lineage: Eukaryota; Viridiplantae; Streptophyta; Magnoliopsida; Poales; Poaceae. The record is from RNAcentral.
GCGUCACCAGCAAGUGAGGCCGUGAGGCGUCUGGAGUAACCAUUCUCUCAUCCCACCACUCGCUGACUCAUGAGUUGCCAGGGCUAACUUGGAGCUACCCGUGUCUCACAUCCAGCGUUUGUGGUGCCUAGGCAUCUGCUCUCUCUGGUGUGUCUACGCGACCGGUAGUGCCUUAUUACCCAGCCUCACCGAUUCUUGAUGCCUCCAAAGCCUACCUACCAAGAAUGCCCAUGCAUGUAGAGUGAGUGC